AGCGCAGGUGGUUGUAUAAAUCUGAAGUAAAAGGCAGUGGCUCAACCAUUGUGUGCUUUGGAAACUGUACAACUUGAGUGCAGAAGGGGAGAGUGGAAUUCCAUGUGUAGCGGUGAAAUGCGUAGAUAUAUGGAGGAACACCGGUGGCGAAAGCGGCUCUCUGGUCUGUAACUGACACUGAGGCUGAAAGCGUGGGGAGCAAACA
Molecule: ribosomal RNA, 205 nt
Filed under: uncultured bacterium
Lineage: Bacteria
Description: partial 16S ribosomal RNA
Rfam family: Bacterial small subunit ribosomal RNA
Source: RNAcentral